AACGAACGCUGGCGGCGUGCCUAACACAUGCAAGUCGUGCGAGAAAGGGCUUCGGCCCCGGUAAAGCGGCGCACGGGUGAGUAACACGUGGAUAACCUACCCCUUGGUGGUGGAUAACCUUCCGAAAGGAGGGCUAAUACAGCGUAAGACCACGACUUCGAAAGAGGUUGAGGUAAAAGUGGGCCUCUGUACACAAGCUCACGCCAGGGGAUGGGUCCGCGGCCCAUCAGCUAGUUGGUAGGUAACGGCCUACCAAGGCGAAGACGGGUAGCUGGUCUGAGA
This 282-nucleotide ribosomal RNA is filed under the name uncultured bacterium. Its description in RNAcentral is "partial 16S ribosomal RNA". It matches the Rfam family "Bacterial small subunit ribosomal RNA", at positions 29 to 297 of the family's 1533-position model. The record is from RNAcentral.